GACGAACGCUGGCGGCGUGCUUAACACAUGCAAGUCGAACGGAAAGGCCCUGCUUUUGUGGGGUGCUCGAGUGGCGAACGGGUGAGUAACACGUGAGUAACCUGCCCUUGACUUUGGGAUAACUUCAGGAAACUGGGGCUAAUACCGGAUAGGAGCUCCUGCUGCAUGGUGGGGGUUGGAAAGUUUCGGCGGUUGGGGAUGGACUCGCGGCUUAUCAGCUUGUUGGUGGGGUAGUGGCUUACCAAGGCUUUGACGGGUAGCCGGCCUGAGAGGGUGACCGGCCACAUUGGGACUGAGAUAAGGCCCAGACUCAUACGGGAGGCAGCAGUGGGGAAUAUUGCACAAAGGGCGGAAGGCUGAUGCAGCAACGCAGCGUGUGGGAUGACGGCCCUCGGGUUGUAAACCGCUUUCGCCUGUGACGAAGCGUGAGUGACGGUAAUGGGUAAAGAAGCACCGGCUAACUACGUG
RNAcentral lists this ribosomal RNA (468 nucleotides) under uncultured bacterium. RNAcentral's name for it is "partial 16S ribosomal RNA". It matches the Rfam family "Bacterial small subunit ribosomal RNA", at positions 28 to 507 of the family's 1533-position model. The record is from RNAcentral.